CUCAUUAAAUCUUCUUUUUCUUUUAAACUUUAUCCAGGUGCGGGAAUUUAAUUUAUCCUUGGAACUCGCAUGACUGUUCUUUAACAGAAGAUGCUGAUGAACCUGAAUUGGAUGAAGAUGCUGAUGAACUGGAAUUGGGAGUAGCAGAAGAUAAACCUGCAUUUGAUGAGGUUCAAGUUGUCAAACAUGAUGCUGCCGUAGCUAAAGUUGAUGAUGACCUUAAACUGUCCGAAGCAGAUGAUGAAUUGGGAGAAGAAGAUAAACCUGCAUUUGGUGAGGUUCAAGGUAUUAUUAAUUUAAAAGCAUCGAUAAAAAUAAAUGUGUGGAUAUAUGAAAUUUUUUACAAACAGUUGUCAAACAUGAAGUUGCUGUCGUAGCAGCCACUCCUCCCCUAGUGGAUCAGGCUGCAAAUCCUUCUGGACGAAAUGAAUGUUCUCUGGAAAGAAGAAAGAAAUCCCUUCAUCUUUUGAAAAUUGCCAAAAAACAAAGAAAGGAGGAAAAGGCUAAAAACUUGGCGGAUUAGUGCAAAAUAUUUGAGGAUAAUUGCAGCACCGAUUCUGAGGAAGAAUUUGACAAUGUCAUGUAAAUAGGUCCUUUUUUUUUGGCGUCACAUUUGUUCAAUUAAAAUUCUUUCCUCCUGUGUUUUCAACUUGAAACUAAUAAAUAGCGAUCGAUAAACUCA
Long non-coding RNA from Daphnia pulex (common water flea), 682 nucleotides. RefSeq lists it as uncharacterized. The record is from RefSeq and is a predicted model, not a curated record. The transcript is spliced from 3 exons. Lineage: Eukaryota; Metazoa; Arthropoda; Branchiopoda; Diplostraca; Daphniidae.